AUGGAGCAGAAACCACGACGGAACAUGCCACACGCGCAAGCAACCGACAACUCCGACUUUGACGACGAGCAACACGGGGGAAAUAUGCAGGACUUGCGCCGACCGUGCCCAAAAGAGCACCUCGGACACGCCGGGAAGAACCGACUACCAAAGACCACGCCGCGACCCAAGCUCCUCUCGACGCCAUCAUCGUUGCCAAACAGAAACCAGCGCCCCGCCUCAGCAAACCACGCGGCGAAGAUGCCGCCAUCGACGGCGAAGAUGCCAUCAUCCUCCAGUCCCUCAGUCGUAGCCGGCUCCGAGACGAUGCCCCCAAGGAGGAGAAAGACGCGAAGACGCCUCCAUCGCCCGAUCCAAUGGAUCUGA
RNAcentral lists this ribosomal RNA (366 nucleotides) under Triticum aestivum (bread wheat). RNAcentral describes it as "partial small subunit ribosomal RNA". Lineage: Eukaryota; Viridiplantae; Streptophyta; Magnoliopsida; Poales; Poaceae. The record is from RNAcentral.